UACGUAGGGGGCUAGCGUUGUCCGGAUUUAUUGGGCGUAAAGAGCGUGUAGGCGGCCAGGUAGGUCUGGUGUGAAAACUCGAGGCUUAACCUCGAGAUGUCAUCGGAAACCAUCUGGCUAGAGUCCGGAAGAGGAGAGUGGAAUUCCUGGUGUAGCGGUGAAAUGCGCAGAUAUCAGGAAGAACACCAAUGGCGAAAGCAGCUCUCUGGGACGGUACUGACGCUGAUACGCGAAAGCGUGGGGAGCGAACAGG
This 253-nucleotide ribosomal RNA is filed under the name uncultured bacterium. RNAcentral describes it as "partial 16S ribosomal RNA". It matches the Rfam family "Bacterial small subunit ribosomal RNA", at positions 524 to 776 of the family's 1533-position model. The record is from RNAcentral.